GCGCUGGCGGGGGGGGUCCGGGGCUCGGCGGAGCCGCCCGACGCUCGGGGACCAGGGGACCCGGACGGGGACACACGGGCAGCGGCUCACGGACACACACACCGGACACGGACACACACUCACACACGCGGAGGACAGACGGGCCCCGGGGGCGCGACACCGGACCCCCCGCCGCCCCUGACACGUAUCCCCGGCGCCGUGGCCGGGUCCGUGCAGCGCGGGGCCGCGGGACAGAGGCGGUAGUCUUCCUGAAGUCCUGAAGAUUGGAAGAAAAUAAACCAGCAGCUGACAGACAACUGGUAAAUACCCCUCUGAAGUCAUUCGCUGAGUUUCAGCUGCCCUACCAUCUUCUCAGAAUUAACAUUGACGUGUUGGAUAUCCAAGAAACCUGACCAGGUCCCAAAGAAUAACUCCAGGAACUUCAUCUGCCGUUUUUCCCGAUCUGGAAACUAUUACUUUUUGUUGAUGUGGCCAUGAGAGCAGAGACCAGUGACCUGCCUAGUUUCUAGUCUGCCAGCCAGAGGCACCGAGCCAACAGUCCUCUGCUUCGACACCCACCGCGGCAUCAUCUGACCGCGGAACAGAACUCCCCGCCGCGUCCACCGGACCUUGCCACCCCACCCGCCCCCUCCGCCGGCAAGGA
Ornithorhynchus anatinus (platypus) is the source of this 643-nucleotide long non-coding RNA. RefSeq lists it as uncharacterized. NCBI's taxonomy places the organism in Eukaryota, Metazoa, Chordata, Mammalia, Monotremata, Ornithorhynchidae. The record is from RefSeq and is a predicted model, not a curated record. The transcript is spliced from 4 exons.